Molecule: ribosomal RNA, 253 nt
Filed under: uncultured bacterium
Lineage: Bacteria
Description: partial 16S ribosomal RNA
Rfam family: Bacterial small subunit ribosomal RNA
Source: RNAcentral
UACGUAGGGUGCAAGCGUUGUCCGGAAUUAUUGGGCGUAAAGAGCUCGUAGGCGGUUUGUCGCGUCGAAUGUGAAAACCCGGGGCUCAACCCCGGGCCUGCAUUCGAUACGGGCAGACUAGAGUUCGGUAGGGGAGUCUGGAAUUCCUGGUGUAGCGGUGAAAUGCGCAGAUAUCAGGAGGAACACCGAUGGCGAAGGCAGCUCGCUGGGACGGUACUGACGCUGAGACGCGAAAGCGUGGGGAGCGAACAGG